Molecule: RNA transcript, 5615 nt
Organism: Balaenoptera musculus (blue whale)
Lineage: Eukaryota; Metazoa; Chordata; Mammalia; Artiodactyla; Balaenopteridae
Gene: URB2
Gene name: URB2 ribosome biogenesis homolog
Exons: 12
Source: RefSeq, a predicted model, not a curated record
GCGGCCGUUCGUCCCCGCGCGGUCCCCAUCCGGGGCUGGCCGCCGGGAGAGCUCCCCACCCGGUGACUGCCCUCCGCCCCGCCCGCCGCCCCUCACGGCGGGGUCUGCGUGAGUUCCUCACCUGGGGGCGGCCUGCAGGUAAAGUGCAGCAAUGGCUGCUGUUUAUUCUGGCAUUUCUCUAAAACUUAAAAGCAAGACAACUUCCUGGGAAGAUAAACUAAAACUAGCUCACUUUGCUUGGAUUUCCCAUCAGUGUGUUCUUCCAAAUAAAGAACAAGUAUUACUUGAUUGGGCACGACAGUCAUUGGUUGCGUUUUAUAAGAAAAAACUUGAACUGAAGGAAGACAUUGUUGAAAGGCUUUGGAUCUAUAUGGAUAACAUUCUACAUAGCAGAAAAUUGCAGAAUCUCCUCAAGAAUGGAAAGACAAUUAACCUUCAGAUUUCCCUCAUCAAGAUCAUCAAUGAGAGAAUGGCCGAGUUCGCUCUCUUGGGAUCUCAGAGGAGCAUCUGUGUUGUGCUGAGCUGCUGCCAGGGUAUCCUCUCGACGCCCGCCCUUGCUGUCAUGUACACGGCCAGGCAGGAGCUGACGGUCGACCUGCUGAGCCAGCUGUGCUGGUUGGCCUGUAGGCAGCCGGGAGCCGUGAUGCCCCAGUUGUUCGAGGUUCUUCACCUGACCCUCGGCCUUUACCUCUCGAUUCAGCGGCAGCAGGUCAACCCGAGACGCACCUUUGGGGAGGUGACCACACACUUGCUCCAGCCCUGCCUGGUCCUGAGACACUUACUCUCGGCAGGCACGUGGACCCAGGCUGGCCAGGGCCAGCUGCGGCCGGCACUAGGCCGGGACAUUAGGAGUCAGAUUGAGGCCGUGCUUCGAGGCGGAGCUUUUCAGGCCGAGCUGCUCCCUUCCUACAAAGAGGAGCUCUUGGACCAGCAGCAAGGUGACACGAAGAUGGGGGCCAUGAAGAAUCUCCUAGCGCCCCUGGGCACCGUGAUGGCCGGGCUGGUGGAUCCUGGCUACUGUGAACCGUCCCUUCAGGCUGCUGUGGUGGCCAACUCCGUGGCCUUGCUGUACAAGCUCUUUGUAGAUUCUUACCUCACGGAGGGCAACCGGCUGCUCUGCUUCAAGGUGCUCCCUCGGCUGUUUGGUUGCUUAAGGAUUUCCCACCUGCAGGAGGAGCAGUUGCAAGCCCUGCCUGCGUCUGAUUGGACCACGGAACUCCUGGCCUUGGAACAGCUGCUAAAUUCAGUGGCCAGUAGUACUAUCUACAACAUUGCCACUGACCGGAUUCGGCACGGGGAGACUCAGUUCCACUUCUACCGCCAUCUGGCCGAGAUGCUGCUGAACCAUCCGCAGGCCCCCGUGCCAGCCUGGUUCCGCUGCCUCAAGGUUUUGCUCUCUCUGAAUCACUUGAUUCUGGAGCCUGACCUGGAUGACCUGUUGUCUUCAGCUUGGAUCGAUGCAGAAGUCACAGAGUCGCGGACCCAGAAAGCCCAGGAGGCGCUGAUCCACACGCUCUUCCAGACGUUCGCCAAGCUCCGGCAGGUGCCCCGGCUGUUCAGGGAGGUGCUGGGGGUGAUCUGUCGCCCCGCGGCCGAGGCGCUCAGGCUGCCCGUGCUGUCCGCAGGCCCCGCUGCUGUGCUCCGCGAGUGCCUCCCGGAUCUGCCCCCGAGCCAGGUCCUGGACGCCUGGGCCCUCAUGCUGGAGAGGUUCCAGUCCCUGGUCCUGCCUGAUUUGCGGGGUGACAUGGACAUGGCCCUGAAGUCCGUGUCCCUGAGCUCGCUGCUGCACUGCGUCAUGGUCCACGCGCGGAGCCUGGAUGGCGACUCGCCCCUGCCCGUGGUCAGGCGCACGCGGCGCACCAUGGACGAGACGCUGCGGGGCCUCGUGCGGCCCCUGCUGGACCUCCUCCGCCAGCCCCGGCCCUUGGUGCCCGAGCCCUGGCGACAGAGGGUCGGUGACUCUGCGCUCCUGCUCGCCCACACCUGGGCCCAGGUGGACACUGUGCUGGGCUUGAGCUGCGGCCCGUACCGCUCUGAGCCCGGGGCCCUCGCAGGCACCGCCCCGGAGCCCUCGGGCCUCCCCCCGCUGCUCCCGGGUCUGGAGGCCAAGCACUGGAAGGAGAUAGAGGCGUUUACGGCUCAGUCCGACUCCCUCGGCAGGUACUGCUUGGAGCAGCUCCACCUGCAGAGAAUGAAAAACACCUUGCUGCAAACUGGCGUCCAGUCUGAAGAAGCCCUCCUCGCUCUGAGGCGCGAUGCUGCCUACAUCCUGGGCUCCGGGAGAGCGAGCCUGACCCGGGGGACGACGGCCUCCUGGGACGGCCAGGUGGGGACAGUGAGUGCGCUCACCUACCCCGUCGCCCACUGGCACUCAGUCGUGUCCCAUCUCACGAUUUUAACACCCUAUCUUUGUCCGGACGACCUGCGGUACCUGGCCGGUGUCCUGCUGAGAACUUUGCCAACGAGCAAAGCCCAGGAGGGCUCAGCGGAGGAGGAGCCAGACAUCACACUUGAAAACAUAUCGAAGGCCGUCCUCCACAGCCCUCUCUUCCCCGAAAUGCAGUCCCUCCACUCUGCGUUCUUACUGUGCGUGACCGCAAGCUGCGCCGGCAUCCUGUGUGCCGGCGCCCGGAGGGGCCCUGCUCUUCUCCGCCAGCAGCUGCCCUGGCUUUUUGAAGGGGAUUACGUGGCCGUGGCUCACUGGGAAAGCAGAUUUCCAAAGGUCGGAUCUGAAGGCGUAGAGCCAAGAGGAGAAAUCGCCCAGAGCUUACUCUCCUUGGCCAGGGGUGACUCCGCCGUUGAGCUGGAGGGGGAGCAGCUGGAGGGCGUUCUUCGGCUUUUGGAGGUUCUUUCUGCUCUGCAGCUGGACAGCCUCCUGCCCCCCUGUCACGUGCAUUGUUUUCUCCUGUUGCUGACCGUGGCCGUCGCUACGCUGGGCAGCUCUUGCCCCUCCUCGCUGACCCUCAGGUGUUUGAUGACGUGCUACCGGCUCCUCGGUCACCUGCAGAGAGGGAAGAGCGCCCAGUCGGCGCUCAGGGUCAUGUACGUUAGCGACAUCUUUGAGAUCACGCUGACCUCCUUGUUCAGAGCCAGUAGGAGGUUUCUUGUGGACGUGGAUGACCCCUCUUGGCUGGAAUUCCUCCAGGUGGUGGAGACCUUCUUAGAACAGCCGCUGCGAACGCUGCUCCAGAGGAAGCUCAGCCCGGGGCUCAAUUUCGGGAAAAUCCUCGCAUUCCUCUCGAGGUCCCACCUGCGCCCUGAAGCAACUUCAGGCAGACGGUCGGAAGAUCAGACACCUCUGGGCCAGCAGCUCCUUCUGGUGUCUUUAACCAAGCUGUGCCAAGUGCUGGGGCCUUUAGUCAAGGCGCAGAAGCAGCACGAGGCCCUGGAAGCGCCGCGCGAGCUGUUGCAGGCGGCCGUGCUGCAGGCGGGGGCCGUGCUCCAGCUCUGCGCCGCCCGCGGGGCCCGGGACCGCCGCCUCCCGCCCCCCGUCCUCUCGUCGGUCGCCUCGCUCUUGGAGGCCGAUUUGGCCCUGUGCUCCGGGCACAGCGGGACAGAGGUUCCCGGAGGGACAGACCACGUGCUGCUGUCCCAUGCCGCCCUCUACCAGGCUGUCUACUCUCAGAUCCUGUCGGAGUUGCCGGCUCUAGCAGGAGACACCCCAUCUCUCCAGGCAGCCGUGCAGUUUUUGACUCUGUUCUUUUUAGCCCCAGAACUGCACCCCCAGAAGGAGUCUGUGUUUACCUCCGUGUUUCAAUCUGUGAGAAAAGUCCUUGCAGAUCCUGCGAUUCCGGUUCAGGUAGUUGAGGAGAUUGAGCCUCAUUUGGGAGCCUUGUUCACCCAAAUGUUGGAGGUUGGGACGACAGAGGACUUCCAGAUGGCGCUGCAGUGUGUCCUCCAGGGACUGGACGUCAGUAACGUGUGGAGAGCAGAUCUGCAGGCUGUUUUGUCGGCUGUGACGUUGGUCAAGUUGCUCUUGAACUGCCCAUCUGGUGGCGAGAAGGCCAGUUUGUUCUGGCGUGCGUGCCCACAGGUGGUCACGGCUCUAAUGCUGCAGACCCGAGAGGCUUGUCGGGAACAGCCCAUGGCGCUGGCACUGGUCGGGCCCAUCUUGGACGUCCUGGCUGCGCUGCUGAGGCAGGGGGAGGAGACCAUCAGCAACCCACACCACGUUGGCCUGGCCUUCGGUGUCCUGCUGGCCGUGCCCUUGGAUGCCCUGAGGCCUCCCGAGUAUGAGCGCAUCUUCCUGCGGGUCCACAACGUGCUCUUCUCAAUCCUGCAGUGUCACCCGAAGGUAAUGCUGAAAGCCAUCCCUUCUUUCUUGAACUGUUUUCAUAGAUUGGUGUGUUCAGUUAUACGCGAAGGGCGGCAGAAAGACAAAGGAGGCGCAGAGGACCUGCCGGUGGUGCUGGAGUGCGCCCGCCUCGUGGAAAGGAUGUACAGCCACGUGGCACUGCGGGCCGAGGAGUUCAGGGUGUUUUCCCCCUUCAUGGUGGCCCAGUAUGUGAUGGAGGCGCAGAAGUUUAAUUACAGGCUAGAUGGCAAGUGUUUCAGCAGCGGGCGGCGUAGGUGAAGGUCUUUCGGUGGUUGGGGCCGAUGACGGUGAGACGGCCUCGGGCAGGAGGGGCAGCUGCUCCUACAGACCUUGUUCCUUCCAUGCAGAGAUGUGUCAUCCUGGAGACGUGUCAGGGAAGUUACGGUCACUUUUAUCUUCUCUUUUACCCGUAGGUCAGAUUUACAACUGUCCCUCUAUAUCAAUAGCUUAGAGUAAAUAGUUUGCACUACUCCCCUGGCCUAAGGUCCUUUUAGGUUAACUUAGAGAUGUUUCCAUUCGUUGGCCAAUGACCGUAACGUUGUAGAAAUUAACUUUUUUCCCGUUUUCCAAAUAAGCUGUCUAACGUAAAGAUGCGAAGGGGCUGUGCUGUCCUGAUACUACCGGCCUUGCUGUCCCAUUCCCCACUCCCCGUGCUCCGGGCUGUACUUCACAAGGAGACACACCAGCUGAAGGGCUGUGACAUCUGGACUCACAUGCCCCGUUCAGAUCUCAGUGCUGCCACUGGGGAAAUUACUGCGCCUCUUUUUGCCUUUAGAAGCGGGAUUAUUUGUUUAGUGAGUGGUGAUUCAGUGAAUGAAUGAGCAAGCCCUCACCCAGCUAGUGAGGUUAAGGACUUCUUCUGUUUUCAGUUUGUCUGUUUUAUUUUUUCUUUCCCUCCCUAAUACCUUAGUAUGGAAUCACAGACAAGCCAUUCCUCCUGUGGUCCUUGAAUGUUCUUAUCAUCUAUAAAACAGUAAAAUUUAAUUAAGAAGCUGCAUGUCUGCAGAGAGGCAUGAACUCCUAGGCCAUCAGGACACUAAUGAAGAACUGGCCACUCCCCAGGCCUGUCAGCCGGAACCUUGCUGCUGCUUUCUGGCUGCAGCUGCUGCGGUGGGCAGACGCUGCCCUGCCCAGGUCCGGCUGAAGCCUGGGCGGCUCUGGCAGGGUCACCUUGUAUCCGGCGGUGAAAGGCCUCCUGCAGGAGGGCAUCUACCUCAUCCUGGACCUGUGCAUCGAGCCCGACAUCCAGUUCCUGCGGGCCUCGCUGCAGCCGGGGGUGCGAGACGUCUUUAAGGAGCUG